AGUGAACGCUGGCGGUAGGCCUAACACAUGCCAGUCGAACGGCAGCACAGUAAGAGCUUGCUCUUACGGGUGGCGAGUGGCGGACGGGUGAGGAAUACAUCGGAAUCUACUUUUUCGUGGGGGAUAACGUAGGGAAACUUACGCUAAUACCGCAUACGACCUACGGGUGAAAGCAGGGGAUCUUCGGACCUUGCGCGAUUGAAUGAGCCGAUGUCGGAUUAGCUAGUUGGCGGGGUAAAGGCCCACCAAGGCGACGAUCCGUAGCUGGUCUGAGAGGAUGAUCAGCCACACUGGAACUGAGACACGGUCCAGACUCCUACGGGAGGCAGCAGUGGGGAAUAUUGGACAAUGGGCGCAAGCCUGAUCCAGCCAUACCGCGUGGGUGAAGAAGGCCUUCGGUUUGUAAAGCCCUUUUGUUGGGAAAGAAAAGCAGCAGGUUAAUACCCCGCUGUUCUGACGGUACCCAAAGAAUAAGCACCGGCUAACUUCGUG
This 492-nucleotide ribosomal RNA is filed under the name uncultured bacterium. RNAcentral's name for it is "partial 16S ribosomal RNA". It matches the Rfam family "Bacterial small subunit ribosomal RNA", at positions 29 to 507 of the family's 1533-position model. The record is from RNAcentral.